Molecule: unclassified non-coding RNA, 345 nt
Filed under: soil metagenome
Description: partial contains 5.8S ribosomal RNA, internal transcribed spacer 2, and large subunit ribosomal RNA
Rfam family: 5.8S ribosomal RNA (bases 1-120)
Source: RNAcentral
GAUGAAGAACGCAGCGAAAUGCGAUAAAUAAUGUGAAUUGCAGAAUUCAGUGAAUCAUCGUGUCUUUGAACGCACAUUGCGCCCCCUGGUAUUCCGGGGGGCAUGCCUGUCCGAGCGUCAUUGCUGCCCUCAAGCACGGCUUGUGUGUUGGGCCUCCGUCCUCCUCCCGGGGGACGGGCCCGAAAGGCAGCGGCGGCACCGCGUCCGGUCCUCGAGCGUAUGGGGCUUCGUCACCCGCUCUUGUAGGCCCGGCCGGCGCUUGCCGACACAUCAAUCUUUUUUCCAGGUUGACCUCGGAUCAGGUAGGGAUACCCGCUGAACUUAAGCAUAUCAAUAAGCGGAGGA